Molecule: long non-coding RNA, 497 nt
Organism: Herpailurus yagouaroundi (jaguarundi)
Lineage: Eukaryota; Metazoa; Chordata; Mammalia; Carnivora; Felidae
Exons: 6
Source: RefSeq, a predicted model, not a curated record
UUCACAACAUUCCCCCUCCAAUUAAUCCCCAGCCACCCCGCUGUGUGUGAAUGGGUUGUGCUGGGGAUUCGUAGCUCUGAUGCGGGGGAUUUGCUGAUUCCUUUGAGCCCCCUGAGGAGAGGUGAUAUGGAGAGCAAAUAAUCAGCAUGCAGCACGGAGGCGAGAGAGGACAAAGAGGCUUAGAAAUUCCUAACCAGCACGGGGUCACAGACUGGAAGUGGUAACUGGAGUCUUCAGAAUUCCAUCACCUUCAGUUGCUUGCCUGCUGGAAUGACAUGGAUUCUCAUCCCUGAGGAAGUAAUUCUGGAUUCCUUCUCAUGAUAAUGAAGAUCAGUUACCCUUGAGAAGACAAUAACUCCUUUCUUGCCUAUUGUUUCCUGGUAUAAGGAGCUCAAAGUGGAGAGGGUUCUGCAUGCCUGCAGCCCUGGGAGACAGAGCAAGUUCAGAAACCUGGUUUAUGCUAGUUUUACAAAGGAGAAAACAGGAUUGGAGAAAUU